GUGCUCUCUUUGGCAGCACAUAUACUAAUAUUAGAAUGAUGCAGAGAAAUUUAACAUGGCCUCUGCACAAGGAUGACAUGCAAAUUCAUGAAGCAGUCCAUAUUUUU
This 107-nucleotide small nuclear RNA is filed under the name Sciurus vulgaris (Eurasian red squirrel). The record is from RNAcentral. Lineage: Eukaryota; Metazoa; Chordata; Mammalia; Rodentia; Sciuridae.